Molecule: transfer RNA, 73 nt
Filed under: Danionella translucida
Lineage: Eukaryota; Metazoa; Chordata; Actinopteri; Cypriniformes; Danionidae
Also listed under: 1 other name
Rfam family: tRNA
About the family: Transfer RNA (tRNA) molecules are approximately 80 nucleotides in length.
Source: Rfam by way of RNAcentral
GGGGAAUUAGCUCAAAUGUUAGAGUGCUCGCCUUGCAUGUGAGAGGUAGUGGGAUCAAUACCCACAUUCUCCA